This 253-nucleotide ribosomal RNA is filed under the name uncultured bacterium. RNAcentral describes it as "partial 16S ribosomal RNA". It matches the Rfam family "Bacterial small subunit ribosomal RNA", at positions 524 to 776 of the family's 1533-position model. The record is from RNAcentral.
UACGGAGGGUGCAAGCGUUAUCCGGAUUCACUGGGUUUAAAGGGUGCGUAGGUGGGAAUGUAAGUCAGUGGUGAAAUCUCCGUGCUUAACACGGAAACUGCCAUUGAUACUAUGUUUCUCGAAUUAUCUGGAGGUCAGCGGAAUAUGUCAUGUAGCGGUGAAAUGCUUAGAUAUGACAUAGAACACCAAUUGCGAAGGCAGCUGGCUACAGGUGGAUUGACACUGAGGCACGAAAGCGUGGGGAUCAAACAGG